AUGCAUAAUGAUGUUGGGAUGGUGUCCAGCAGAAGGAAUUCCACAGGGGCGUUCCACCGCGACGGCCCGCCCAAGGACUGGUCCCAGUUCGCCGACCCCUCGCCGUCUCCUAAACUGCUGUACUCGCAGUCCUAUGUCGUCAUGAGGGGGCUGCUGGCGUCGCUGGCAUCUCUGGACUUGGCCCUGUGGUCAAGCACGAUGAAGUCCGCAUGGCGAUCGCCCGAGAGGUCGAAGUCUAAGGGGCCGGGCUGCAAGAGAGUUGCGUUCCGGCUGUUUGUUUGUUUCAUGGUCGGCAUCUUCAUCGGGUUCACGCCCUUCUUCUCGGUCGAUGUCUCUCAGAAGAUCGUCUCGAGGCUCCCGUUCGACGAUGGGGUGGAUGAUAAGGUUAAGGAGUUGGAUGCAAUCGUAGUGCAGAAAGAGGUUGAGGUGGUUGAUGAGCCCGAGGUUGAGCAGCUGAGCCCUCCGGUUCCUGCAAUGUUGGAUGAUGAGGUGGAUUUUGUCGAAGCUGCGAAACCUGCUAUUACUGAUUUGGUCAUCCCUGUGAGGAAGCUUCUGAUAGUGGUGACAAUCACUUCUGCUCGGCCACAACAGGCGUAUUACUUGAAUCGUCUAGCUCAUGUUCUGAAAGGUGUACCACCUCCUCUCUUAUGGUUAGUGGUGGAAUGGCCUGUUACUACCUUUGAAACAGCAGAAAUCCUCAGGUCUUCUGGGGUCAUGUACAGGCAUAUUGUCUGCAGGAAGAAUCUUACUAGUGUGCGGAAGAUUGCUGUCUGUCAAAGGAAUAAUGCAAUCUAUCAUAUUAAAAAGCAUCACCUUGAUGGUAUAGUGCACUUUGCUGACGAAGAACGAUCAUACAUGGGUGAUGUAUUUGAAGAAAUGCGGAAAAUCAGGCGCGUUGGUGCAUGGCCUGUAGCGAACCAUGAUGCAAGUAAGUACAGGGUGGUUGUAGAAGGGCCUACGUGUAAAGGAAACCGAAUCACUGGAUGGAACACAAUCCCGAAGAAGGGUGCACCCCGUCGAUUCCCAAUUGGUUUCUCUGGGUUUGCUUUCAACAGUACAAUGCUUUGGGAUCCUCAAAGGUGGAACCGCCCAGCUAUGGAUUCUGUUAUAGUCCACUCUGGUGGUAGAGGUGGUCUGCAGGAGUCACGAUUUGUCGAGAAGCUUGUUAAAAACGAGCGUCAAAUAGAAGGCCUUCCAGACAACUGCAACCGGGUCAUGGUCUGGAACUUCGCCCUGGAACCUCCCCAGCUCAACUACCCCGCCGGAUGGUCACUGUGGAACCACCUUGAAGUUGUCAAAGACCUGUAA
This 1308-nucleotide ribosomal RNA is filed under the name Triticum aestivum (bread wheat). Its description in RNAcentral is "partial small subunit ribosomal RNA". The record is from RNAcentral. Lineage: Eukaryota; Viridiplantae; Streptophyta; Magnoliopsida; Poales; Poaceae.